CAUACGCGUUCAGAGUUUGAUCCUGGCUCAGGACGAACGCUGGCGGCGUGCUUAACACAUGCAAGUCGAGCGGGGAUUGAUGAAGUGCUUGCACAGAUUCAAUUCUAGCGGCGGACGGGUGAGUAACGCGUGAACAAUCUGUCCCAGACAGGGGGAUAACACUUGGAAACAGGUGCUAAUACCGCAUAAGACCACGGAGUCACAUGGCUCAGGGGUAAAAGAUUUAUCGGUUUGGGGUGAGUUCGCGUCCGAUUAGCUAGUCGGUGAGGUAACGGCCCACCAAGGCGACGAUCGGUAGCCGACCUGAGAGGGUGAUCGGCCACAUUGGAACUGAGACACGGUCCAA
Molecule: ribosomal RNA, 346 nt
Filed under: uncultured bacterium
Lineage: Bacteria
Description: bacterial SSU rRNA
Rfam family: Bacterial small subunit ribosomal RNA
Source: RNAcentral